GGUAUAUUGAAGAAAGGUACAGCAAUCUAAGCAGUCAGUGGAUGCGGGGAGUGGUAAACAGUGGAGGGUAGAAAAUGAUAGCUGGCGAGUCGGCGAGCUGGCUGAUUCGUUAAUGUGAUUUUCCCCUCUAGUAGUUGCUAUCGUUUCCAUAGGAUUGUUUUUAUUGAUCGUAGUGCUUUGAUAAUGAGAAGCAAAACUCAAAGCAUUUGCAAACUAACAAUAAACUCUAUAGAGUAGAAAGACUCAGUUUAGAGUUGCUUCCUUCCAGGGGACCGGCCAGGACAACUGCAUUAAAUACAGGCUGUUACCCGUAGGCGAUGGGCUACGACAGAAAGAGGGAGUUCGCCAAAAUUUCGCGCAAACAAAACUGAACGUAACAGAUAGAUGGCAUUGACUUAACCGAUGAAACUGUCGAGUGCG
Aedes aegypti (yellow fever mosquito) is the source of this 420-nucleotide long non-coding RNA. RefSeq lists it as uncharacterized. NCBI's taxonomy places the organism in Eukaryota, Metazoa, Arthropoda, Insecta, Diptera, Culicidae. The transcript has 3 exons. The record is from RefSeq and is a predicted model, not a curated record.